This 953-nucleotide ribosomal RNA is filed under the name uncultured rumen bacterium. RNAcentral's name for it is "bacterial SSU rRNA". It matches the Rfam family "Bacterial small subunit ribosomal RNA", at positions 8 to 958 of the family's 1533-position model. The record is from RNAcentral.
AGAGUUUGAUCCUGGCUCAGGAUGAACGCUAGCUACAGGCCUAACACAUGCAAGUCGAGGGGCAGCAUGAGAGUAGCUUGCUACUUUUGAUGGCGACCGGCGAAUGGGUGAGUAACGCGUAUCCAACCUGCCGCACACCCGGGAAUAGCCCUUGGAAAUGAGGAUUAAGUCCCGAUAUGCAUGGUAGUUGCAUGACUACUGUGUGAACCCAGGCAUGUGAUGGGGAUGCGUCCGAUUAGCUUGCCGGCGGGGUAACGGCCCACCGGGGCUUCGAUCGGUAGGGGUUCUGAGAGGAAGGUCCCCCACACUGGUACUGAGACACGGACCAGACUCCUACGGGAGGCAGCAGUGAGGAAUAUUGGUCAAUGGGCGAGAGCCUGAACCAGCCAAGUAGCGUGCAGGAUGACGGCCCUACGGGUUGUAAACUGCUUUUUCCGGGGAAUAACCGGCGGCACGUGUGCCGCCCUGCAUGUACCCGGUGAAUAAGGACCGGCUAAUUCCGUGCCAGCAGCCGCGGUAAUACGGAAGGUCCGAGCGUUAUCCGGAUUUAUUGGGUUUAAAGGGUGCGUAGGCGGGAGGACAAGUCAGCCGUGAAAUCGCGUGGCUCAACCACGCCGAGCGGUUGAAACUGUCUUUCUUGAGUACGGUGAGGGAAGGCGGAAUUCGUGGUGUAGCGGUGAAAUGCAUAGAUAUCACGAAGAACUCCGAUCGCGUAGGCAGCUUUCCGUACCGUUCACUGACGCUGAGGCACGAAGGUGCGGGUAUCAAACAGGAUUAGAUACCCUGGUAGUCCGCACAGUAAACGAUGGAUGCUCGCGGUUCGGCCGUUAUGGUUGUGCCGCUUAGCGAAAGCGUUAAGCAUCCCACCUGGGGAGUACGCCGGCAACGGUGAAACUCAAAGGAAUUGACGGGGGCCCGCACAAGCGGAGGAACAUGUGGUUUAAUUCGAUGAU